Small nucleolar RNA from Ailuropoda melanoleuca (giant panda), 75 nucleotides. Its record names the gene SNORD63. It matches the Rfam family "Small nucleolar RNA SNORD63". From Rfam's summary of the family: snoRNA U63 is found in both humans and mice. U63 is a member of the C/D class of snoRNA which contain C (UGAUGA) and D (CUGA) box motifs. NCBI's taxonomy places the organism in Eukaryota, Metazoa, Chordata, Mammalia, Carnivora, Ursidae. The record is from Ensembl.
GUGCAGUGAUGCAUUUUAUUUAUCAACACAUCAUUCUGAUAAGACAGAGGUGUGGAAAACUAAUGACUGAGCACA